RNAcentral lists this ribosomal RNA (842 nucleotides) under Mastigamoeba guttula. RNAcentral's name for it is "SSU rRNA". It matches the Rfam family "Eukaryotic small subunit ribosomal RNA", at positions 59 to 459 of the family's 1831-position model. The record is from RNAcentral. Lineage: Eukaryota; Evosea; Mastigamoebida; Mastigamoebidae.
UUAAGUACAGGUAGCACAAACCGAAACUGCGGAUGGCUCAUUACAACAGUUAUUAUUGAAAUAGUGGAUAAAAGAGGAAAGGAGCUAGAAUCCUGAAUCAAACACACAUGGAUAACCCUGCUAAUCGUAGAGCUAAUACAAGAAAGCGAGUACAACUCGAGGGAUGAGGGCGAGGCCCGAGCUGGCAUGACUGGGGGAGCAAAAAGCCCAAACUUCGGCCACCCAAGCCCAGCCCUGAUGUAAUGAGAAAGAUCAGGGCGGGGCUGGAUCACUCUAGCAUGAUAACCAGGUGUAGGGACUCGUCCAAGCCCAAAGAGUCGCGUUUGUCAGCAAAGCGAAAACCAAGGGGAACUCUGUUUUGUUGGGGGUCAAACUUCAACGGGACGGGGGUCCAGAAGAGGAGACGAAGACAUGCAUUUGCUCGAGGGGUGGAAGUAAAACGACACCUGAGAGCCAUGAGGAUAAAAACGGACAGCUGGAUGAGGGGACCUCUGGGGGAAGAUACGCCAAGAACAAAAAGCCAGUUGCAUUGCAAGCCUUUGGGUCAAACUGAAGGGUAGCAGGCAGAAUGACUAACGCCCACGUGGCCCCACAGCUGGGAACAAUAUAGAUGUCUCCAAGUGAAAUAGGACAAAAGAGCAAAUUGCAAGAGUGGGGUAACACUCACUCAAGCAAUGCACUAGAGAAAUUUCUGACCUAUCAACUAGAUGGUAGGAUCGGGGCCUACCAUGGUGUCAACGGGUAACGAGGAAUUAGGGUUCGAUUUCGGAGAGGUGGCCUGGGAAACGGCGACCACUUCCAAGGAAGGCAGCAGGCGCGUAAAUUACUCGGUGCCAAUACGG